AUCUACCAGCCAUUGUAUUCUGCAUGCACCUAGUAUCAAUCAUCUCUAUAAAAGAAUGUCUUAUUUAUUUUCCUCGUACAGUUAUCGGUGGUCAGAUAUCCAGCGCUGAACAGAAUAUUGACCAGCGACUACUAACACUCAGUCUAGAACCAGACAUUGAGCUCAGGGGAAAGUUUUAACACACACGUGUAGAGAAGCUGUGUCAGAAUAAUGUCUUCACAAGGGAACAGAAGUUUCCCACGGAUGAGGACCGCCUCACUGACUUCCAUUCCCAUUUCUUGUUUGAUGACGAGAAAAAAUCAUCUUCUGUUUGUGCCUAAAAUAUCAGCUAACAGAUGAGGAGGGGGUUUCACCAAGAGCUAAGCUGCAAACUCAGAACAUUUAUAACAAAGUUGGCCACCAUUCCCAAACUCCCUCCCUCUGUGAAGGAUCUGAGAUAUUAUGACCAGCUGCUCCACAAU
Molecule: long non-coding RNA, 461 nt
Organism: Halichondria panicea
Lineage: Eukaryota; Metazoa; Porifera; Demospongiae; Suberitida; Halichondriidae
Exons: 3
Source: RefSeq, a predicted model, not a curated record